UUCAUUGUGGCAGAACAGUUCCUUGAUCCAGCGAGCAACUCCAGGAUUCACAGACAUCAAAGAGCCUGCAAUAGUGAGAAAAUACUCAAGCUCAACUAUUAGUCUCAUAACAGUACUGUAAUGCUGUCUGAAUGUUUUUAUCUUCCCUCGGAGUGUCUGAAAUCAAAUCCAAGACUUCAGGAUUGAGGACCAAGAAAUAAACUUUCUUGCUGAGCUAGAGCAUGAUGGUCAGCAAAGAGGAGGACAAAACCAUCUGAAGCCAUCUCUGGUAGAGUUACUGUUUGGCUGUGUCUUCUUUGCCAAAUACAGGAACAGAGAUCUUAUUUUAAGCUACUGUUUGCUCUGACUUGCAGAACUAUACUUCAUAUGCAAACUGAUUUUUAUUUUUUUCCCUCCUGGGAGAGAAUAGGUUCAGCCUGGGUCAACAAUUACUUCCAAGAAUUAGGAAAGCCUGAAUGCAAUAUUACUGCUUUUACCAUUCACAUAUGAUUAAUUCUGGUAAACUAUACUACCUCGGAAUUCAUAACCAUGUGUGACAAAGCACCAUGCUCCCAUUAUCUAACAUGUGCAACUGCUCCACUGGCACAUCUCAUCCAGCAGUGGCCUGUAGCAGCGCUUCCACCAACAGUCCCUCUGCAUUAGUUUUCUAGAAGAAACCUACCUGGAAAAUGACGGCGGUGUGACACUCUCCAGUCAGUGGGUGAGUGGAAGCAGUGAUAAUCCCCUGGUGCAAGGUAGAUUACACAGUGGUAGAGUUCAUUUCCUUCCUUUGUGACUAGCUGUUGCUGAAAUGAGUUGCCAGGUGGGACUGCAUAGAAAGAAAGGAGUUAAAAGUACUCUUCCUGCCAUCAUCUACCAUAGCUGAGCAGCCUGUAUUAAAAACAACAGACUAAAUGCAGUCUGCAUGUGUUGAUAAGACUAGACAUAGGCCCAAGAAUCCAAUAUUUCAGUGUAUUCUUUUCCCUUUACAAAAUGAAAUUAGAUCCUGUGCUGUUUUAAACAUUUUGUAAAUUCAUCAGUUUAUGCUGUGCUGCUUAGGGAACGUAAACUCCAAAACUGAAAUCCACUGAGACAUGGAUGUUUUCCUAAAGUUACUGUUUGAAGUAACAAAAUUUGUGAAGAGGUCUUAGGUUUAUGAAGUUCUCUGUGGAGAUCAUGUUGAAAAAGCCUGCUGUUAGCAGAACUUGGUCUCUCCAGUCCCCUCUCCAGUUUAGCAAAAUGUGUUGCUCUUAUCAAAACUGAAGGCCAUGAAGAUGGUGUUCAAUGUGCAACAGAAGUGGUGACAACACAUAUCAGUAGAGGUACAGCACUUGUGCAUGAAAUGCAUUAGGGAGCAGCCAGUCUUUGCUAACCAGGUGCUCAGGCACAUGGUCUGUCAGCAGGAAUGCUACAGCACUGUUAUCGUGGCAGACCUUGGAGUCAUUGUAAUUAUUAAGAUAACCACAGAAAAUAGAACCAACCAAUUAAACUGGGAGAAUUAGAACAAGUCACAUAGUGCAAGCUACUGAUGUGAAAGAAGAACUACAACAGUGACAUGUUUCUCCCCAAAAAUAUAACAAAUAUCAGAACUGUUUUUUUCCCUGGAAAUGUGAUGUCUACGAACAUUUAGAAUGGGCAGAGCACGACAGGUGUGAGGUCAGAACUUACCCUCACUAAAACGGAAAUCUUCUGUGCUGAUGCGAGGUCCCAGAAAAGACUCCAGAGAAUAAGUAACCCCUUUUACUUGCUCCACUUCACAGUUCUUUACUUGUCCAAAGUUAAGGAUCUUUCCAUCAGAGGGACUAAUCUACAGCACAGAUGAAAAA
Gallus gallus (chicken) is the source of this 1805-nucleotide long non-coding RNA. RefSeq lists it as uncharacterized. The record is from RefSeq and is a predicted model, not a curated record. Lineage: Eukaryota; Metazoa; Chordata; Aves; Galliformes; Phasianidae. The transcript has 2 exons.